GUGUUAGGCGCCUUGAGGUUGUCAAUGAAUGAAGCCAGGCAUGUGUAUUUAUAACACAAGGUGAUGCAAAUCAUGGAAAAUUCGUGUGCAUGUGGAAUGAGGGCCUCCAUGCAUGGGCCUGUACAGGCGCAUGUGAGGCCCAAGUGCAAUUGCAAAUGCAAGCUAAACAUCAGCCAAGUGAAUUUGGACGUGAAAAUUUGAUGGAAUUGGCUUGUGCACAAAUAUUUCACAUAGUUUCCAUAAAUGAACAUAAA
RNAcentral lists this long non-coding RNA (254 nucleotides) under Lathyrus oleraceus (garden pea). RNAcentral's name for it is "Pisum sativum (pea) long non-coding RNA (PSAT_LNC025978)". Lineage: Eukaryota; Viridiplantae; Streptophyta; Magnoliopsida; Fabales; Fabaceae. The record is from RNAcentral.